Clupea harengus (Atlantic herring) is the source of this 291-nucleotide long non-coding RNA. The record is from Ensembl. NCBI's taxonomy places the organism in Eukaryota, Metazoa, Chordata, Actinopteri, Clupeiformes, Clupeidae.
GGGGUGUAGAGGGGGAGAGAGACAGAGAGAUGGGGAGAGACAGAGAGAGAGGUGGAGAGACAGUGAGAGAGGUGGAGGGAGAGAGAGAGGGGGGUGUAGAGGGAGAGAGAGGGGGAGAGACAGAGAGAGGGGGAGAGAGAGAGAGAGAAAGAGAGAGAGGUGGAGAGACAGAGAGAGAGGGAGAGACAGAGAGAGAGGUGGAGAGACAGAGAGAGAGGUGGAGAGAGAUAGAGGGGUGUAGAGGGAGAGAGAGGGGGAGAGACAGAGAGAGAGGGGGGGAGAGACAGAGAG